RNAcentral lists this ribosomal RNA (806 nucleotides) under uncultured Actinomycetes bacterium. RNAcentral describes it as "bacterial SSU rRNA". It matches the Rfam family "Bacterial small subunit ribosomal RNA", at positions 84 to 902 of the family's 1533-position model. The record is from RNAcentral. Lineage: Bacteria; Bacillati; Actinomycetota; Actinomycetes.
CAAUGCAUCUAGUGGCGAACGGUCGCGUAACACGUAAGCAACCUGCCCUAAGGUGGGGGACAACAGUCCGAAAGGAUUGCUAAUACCGCAUGUGGUCCAUUUUUCGCAUGGAGAAUGGUCUAAAGCCUAGUGCGCCUUAGGAUGGGCUUGCGGCCUAUCAGGUAGUUGGUGGGGUAACAGCCUACCAAGCCGACGACGGGUAGCUGGUCUGAGAGGACGAUCAGCCGGAUUGGGACUGAGAUACGGCCCAGACUCCUACGGGGGGCAGCAAUUAGGAAUCUUGCACAAUGGGGGAAACCCUGAUGCAGCGACGUCGCGUGAAGGAUGAAGGAUCUCGGUCUGUAAACUUCUUUAGUGGGGGACGAAGAAUGUGACGGUACCCCAAGAAUAAGCCCCGGCUAACUACGUGCCAGCAGCCGCGGUAAUACGUAGGGGGCGAGCGUUGUCCGAAGUUACUGGGCGUAAAGCGCGCGUAGGCGGUCUAUUAAGUCUGAGGUGAAAGGUUCAGCGCUCAACGCGAACAGUGCCUUGGAUACUGGUAGACUUGAGUGUGGCAGAGGAGUAUGGAAUUCCUGGUGUAGCGGUGAAAUGCGUAGAUAUCAGGAGGAAUACCGAUGGCGAAGGCAGUACUCUGGGCUAACACUGACGCUGAGGUGCGAAAGCGUGGGGAGCAAACGGGAUUAGAUACCCCGGUAGUCCACGCUGUAAACGAUGAGUGCUAGGUGUAGGAGGUAUCGACCCCUCCUGUGCCGUCGCUAACGCAUUAAGCACUCCGCCUGGGGAGUACGGCCGCAAGGUUGAAACUC